This 705-nucleotide long non-coding RNA is filed under the name Manihot esculenta (cassava). RNAcentral describes it as "long non-coding RNA (MESC_LNC010446)". Lineage: Eukaryota; Viridiplantae; Streptophyta; Magnoliopsida; Malpighiales; Euphorbiaceae. The record is from RNAcentral.
UUAAUUUCUAUUCGACCAAACCUUGAAAAACUGGGGCAAUGUUAAUAAUGGUUGAUGAGGAUUUACCAACAACUCACAUUUCUUUCUAGGAAAUUUCUACCCUAGACAGCUGCCUGGUAUAAAAGAGAUACAAGGGAUGAGGACCUAACCAUAGAAUAUUUAUUUCAUUAGAAGAUAUGGGCUUCAAGAGCUUCUUCUUCUUUGUUAUUUACAUAAUCAGCUUGCUUGUGUUUCUGCUGUUUCCAUCUGAGAUGGUGCUAGCCAGACAAGUCCUGCAGGUCCCUACAACCAGUGAGUUAGUUAUCAUCAGUUGCUGCUUUCUCUCACUCGUCAUCUUUAGCUAGCUCUGUGGUUUUCAAUACUAAAUAAUAAUUUAUUAUCUGUUGUUACAGAAGAGCAGCUACACAAUUUUCAGGAAAGUAAAACUGAAGCACCUGGAAGUCCUUCAGUACGCGGACCACAUGGACUGGCGCCUCCCGCUACCUAGCUUUUAUCCCAGGGCUGUUCCUCUGCGGAAAACACCAAAUUCCCAUAUUUAAAUAAAUUAUAUAUAUAUAUAUAUAUAUAUAUAUAUAUAUAUAUAAUAUUGUAUGAACUUUGUAUCGUUAAUUAAUAUUAGUGAAAAAAUAUAUUACAUUCGUAAUAAUGUAAUAUUGCUAUUUCUAAAUGCAAAAUCAUUAAUAUAAAAAUAAAUUUAUCGUAGCA